GUGUGCAACCUGCCUUUAUCAGGGGGAUAGCCUUUCGAAAGGAAGAUUAAUACCCCAUAACAUAUUGAAUGGCAUCAUUUAAUAUUGAAAACUCCGGUGGAUAGAGAUGGGCACGCGCAAGAUUAGAUAGUUGGUAGGGUAACGGCCUACCAAGUCAGUGAUCUUUAGGGGGCCUGAGAGGGUGAUCCCCCACACUGGUACUGAGACACGGACCAGACUCCUACGGGAGGCAGCAGUGAGGAAUAUUGGACAAUGGGUGAGAGCCUGAUCCAGCCAUCCCGCGUGAAGGACGACG
This 295-nucleotide ribosomal RNA is filed under the name Chryseobacterium sp. RZ4MS9. RNAcentral describes it as "partial 16S ribosomal RNA". It matches the Rfam family "Bacterial small subunit ribosomal RNA", at positions 117 to 413 of the family's 1533-position model. Lineage: Bacteria; Pseudomonadati; Bacteroidota; Flavobacteriia; Flavobacteriales; Weeksellaceae. The record is from RNAcentral.